UGGGGAAUAUUGCGCAAUGGCCGAAAGGCUGACGCAGCGACGCCGCGUGGGGGAUGAAGCAUUUCGGUGUGUAAACCCCUGUUGCCCGGGACGAACAAGCAGAUUUUUCUGCUCUGACGGUACCGGGUGAGGAAGCACCGGCUAACUCCGUGCCAGCAGCCGCGGUAAUACGGAGGGUGCGAGCGUUGUCCGGAAUCACUGGGCGUAAAGGGCGCGUAGGCGGUCUGCUAAGCGUGCGGUGAAAGCCCGGGGCUCAACCCCGGGUCUGCCGUGCGAACUGGUGGACUAGAGCACUGUAGAGGCAGGUGGAAUUCCGGGUGUAGCGGUGGAAUGCGUAGAGAUCCGGAAGAACACCGGUGGCGAAGGCGGCCUGCUGGGCAGUAGCUGACGCUGAGGCGCGACAGCGUGGGGAGCAAACA
Molecule: ribosomal RNA, 419 nt
Filed under: uncultured bacterium
Lineage: Bacteria
Description: bacterial SSU rRNA
Rfam family: Bacterial small subunit ribosomal RNA
Source: RNAcentral